RNAcentral lists this ribosomal RNA (301 nucleotides) under uncultured bacterium. Its description in RNAcentral is "partial 16S ribosomal RNA". It matches the Rfam family "Bacterial small subunit ribosomal RNA", at positions 509 to 809 of the family's 1533-position model. The record is from RNAcentral.
CAGCCGCCACGGUAAUACGAAGGGUGCAAGCGUUACUCGGAAUUACUGGGCGUAAAGCGUGCGUAGGUGGUGGUUUAAGUCCGUUGUGAAAGCCCUGGGCUCAACCUGGGAAUUGCAGUGGAUACUGGGUCACUAGAGUGUGGUAGAGGAUAGUGGAAUUUCCGGUGUAGCAGUGAAAUGCGUAGAGAUCGGAAGGAACAUCUGUGGCGAAGGCGACUAUCUGGGCCAACACUGACACUGAGGCACGAAAGCGUGGGGAGCAAACAGGAUUAGAGACCCCGGUAGUCCCUGUCUCUUAUAA